CUGUGGUGACAGUAAAGAGCAGAGACACAGCCCUCAAAUGAUCAAAUCUUCUGCUGUUCAAAUUCCAUUCUUGAUGAUGGAAACCUGCAUUUGAAGGAAAGGUUCUUAGGAAAGGAGUUAAAGGGGCAAAAAAAGAGUUCCAAGAGGAUACAUGUGCUGUCUUAUUUUGAUGACACUGGGCUCCAGUUCAGCAAAGCAUUUAAGCACAUGGAAUCAAUGGGGCCUCUCCAUAUUAUUGGCAGCUGCCUGACGAUCCCCUCACAGCCUUAGCCAAGUACUGAGGUCAUGGCUGCCAUCUUUCAGAUCAAGAAAGAAAUGGAUAUAAUUCCCUUUGGGGGGACCUCUUCAAAACAAUGUUAGGGCACUCACCGUCACGGUCCUCCAAGAGCUCCCCACAGCACCUCUGCAGCACUCCCCAUCACCGAAGCACAAUCAAAUCAGGUUCUCCCUCACAGCAGCGCCUCUGGGCCUGCGACCACAGAUGUGAUGUUUAGUCAUAAACAUCAGAGAUGGAUCCAGGCUACAACUCUGGAUCCGAAACCCCUGUACUGGGUGAAGAAGACAAUUGGAAUCCAAACCCCUAUCUGGAGCCACAUUUUGCGAUUGGCACCUCUUUUUAGAAAAGGUGGAGCCAAAACACAAUCAAAAAAAUCCUCAAACUUUUUAGGGGUUCAAGAUCAGAGCCCAAGUGU
Molecule: long non-coding RNA, 692 nt
Organism: Mauremys reevesii (Reeves's turtle)
Lineage: Eukaryota; Metazoa; Chordata; Testudines; Geoemydidae
Exons: 4
Source: RefSeq, a predicted model, not a curated record